GAUGAAGAACGCAGCGAAAUGCGAUAAGUAGUGUGAAUUGCAGAAUUCAGUGAAUCAUCGAAUCUUUGAACGCACAUUGCGCCCUUUGGUAUUCCUUAGGGCAUGCCUGUUCGAGCGUCAUUUAAACCUUCAAGCUCAGCUUGGUGUUGGGUGACUGUCCGCUUCACCGCGGACUCGCCUCAAAAUUAUUGGCGGCCGGUACAUUGGCUUCGAGCGCAGCAGAAACGCGAACUCGGGCCCGUCGUAUUGGCUCCCAGAAGCUAUCUUCACAAUUUUGACCUCGGAUCAGGUAGGGAUACCCGCUGAACUUAAGCAUAUCAAUAGGCGGAGGA
RNAcentral lists this unclassified non-coding RNA (332 nucleotides) under soil metagenome. Its description in RNAcentral is "partial contains 5.8S ribosomal RNA, internal transcribed spacer 2, and large subunit ribosomal RNA". The stretch from base 1 to 120 matches the Rfam family "5.8S ribosomal RNA", at positions 35 to 154 of the family's 154-position model. The record is from RNAcentral.